Molecule: unclassified non-coding RNA, 247 nt
Filed under: Ascomycota sp.
Lineage: Eukaryota; Fungi; Ascomycota
Description: partial contains small subunit ribosomal RNA, internal transcribed spacer 1, and 5.8S ribosomal RNA
Rfam family: Eukaryotic small subunit ribosomal RNA (bases 1-47)
Source: RNAcentral
AAAGUCGUAACAAGGUUUCCGUAGGUGAACCUGCGGAAGGAUCAUUAAAGAGUAAGGGUCUUUUAUUAGGCCCGACCUCCAACCCUUUGUCUAUCUACCUCUGUUGCUUUGGCGGGCCUGCUGGGGAGACCCACCGCCGGCCUAGGCCGGUGAGUGCCCGUCAGAGACCACCUAAAACUCUGUUUAUCGAUGAUGUCUGAGUACCACAUAAUAAUUAAAACUUUCAACAACGGAUCUCUUGGUUCUG